UCCGAGUUGACCCCGGCAGUCUCCCAUGAGUCCCCGGCAUAACCCGCUGGCAACAUGGAACGAGGGUUGCGCUCGUUGCGGGACUUAACCCAACAUCUCACGACACGAGCUGACGACAGCCAUGCACCACCUGCACACCAGCCACAAGGGAACCGACAUCUCUGCCGGCGUCUAGUGCAUGUCAAACCGGAGGAAGGUGGGGAUGACGUAUGCGUAACAGAA
RNAcentral lists this unclassified non-coding RNA (222 nucleotides) under uncultured Actinomycetes bacterium. Its description in RNAcentral is "uncultured actinobacterium contains 16S-23S intergenic spacer region". Lineage: Bacteria; Bacillati; Actinomycetota; Actinomycetes. The record is from RNAcentral.